CUACUUUUACAUUAUAUAGUUUGAAUUUAUUGUUUUAGACAGUUUGUAACUUUUAAAAAAAAAUGUUGCAGGCUGGAUAGCCUUAUAAUGGAAGCAACAUCAAUUGUUACCUACAUUGAGACUUCAAACGGUUGCUGUUGGCCAAGCUAAAGUACUUGACAGCUUGUCGGAAACUUAUCAAGAAGAAAACAUUUAGGGACAUCUUCUGGAAAACAGAGAAGUCUCUCUUUGCCUUCACCUAAAACAGACGGAGAUGAAGUGAAUGUUGAGACAAACGCACAGAUUGAUCCGGAGUUAGCCAGACUGAAGACUAUGAACGUACAUAACGCGGCAGCGAUUGCAGCACAGGCAGUUGCAGAGGCAGAGCCUGCCAUGGCAGUGGCUGAAGAAGCUGCAAAGGAUGCAGAGUUAGCAGAGGCCGAAGCAGAAGUAGCUCAAGCUUUCGCAGAAGAAGAUACAACAACUGCAAAGUGGGUUGCUCAUGGUGUAAAUAAGGUGAUUCAUGUGAGAUGAAUAAUGGAUGGCUGAGUUUGGUCCAAGCUCUAUAUUUCUCUCCUCAUGUUUAUGUGAUUUUUUCAAAAGUAGCAUUGGAGUAUGAGAUAUGUGAUGCUCAUAUAGCUAUCCAAGCCAGACUGAUGAGCCAAGUGAGUGCUUUUGUUUCAAAAGCAUAAACUGAGCCACUCUUUGUCUUAGCGCUAACACUUAUCAUUUUUAUAAAUCAGGAAUUGAACUGAUUUGCACUGAAGUGGAGCAAACUCAACUUCAAACUGUCUGACUCUCCUCUAUCGAUGUCUACCGCAGCGAUGACUCUGCUGAUCAAGCCAAGCGCUUCUUCACCAAGCUCAUCGAGAAAGAAGUUUUUUGUUCCUAUUUGCUUUGUGGCCUUCUAAGAGAUUCGUGUCUAAAUCCUAAAAAUAUUUAAUUCGUGUCUGAGAGAGUCACUAAGUGAAACUAAAAUCUUACAAAGCAAUGAACACAUGUGUUCGGAAUUUGAAAUUGUUGGAAGUAGUGAACAAGUUUGAUAAUUGGUUUAGGUUAUAUAGUUUGGAUUUGAAUUUCAGGCUUUUUAAUUAAAAACAGAGUAUUCAUUUAUUAAUAUGUAGUUUGAUUGGUCAGGGUGAUAAACAGUCAAAUGGGGCCACUUCCAUGUUUGCACAACAUAGUAACGUUUAACUGAUGAUAUCGUCCAUGCAAAACUGUAAUGAUGCAUGUUUUCUCUCCUGCCUUCACCGUAUAGUCGAUGAUGAAAGUGGUGAUCUAUAUAGAUCUUCAGGCAUUACUUUUAGGAGUUAUAGGAGAACCCAUAAGGGAUAACUUUAUCGUGUGUAUGAGUUACUUGAUGAGAAGACAUACUUUAGAAUCAUCAGUGGAACCACAGUGAAUUCAUCAAGAUUGAUGCAUAUAGAAUGGAAGUUACAAGCCUCCUAUGGCUGUCACAAGUGCUUUCCUAGAGUAGACAUGGAAUACAGUACAAGAAGAACGAACUUUAUUGGUGAACUGAGCGUGAUUAGGAGCACAGUGAACGACACACAAGGCAGACGACGUAUAAUGGCAUUUACAGCUCAGCAUCCAAAGAAGCAUUUAAUGAAAAAGAUGGUUGGAAACAUGCGCGUGAAGCAGAGACAUAAUUCAAAGAAGCUUUCUUCUUGGUUAAUGAAUGGUCAUCGGGUUUGAGUUUCUUUAUAAUCCAUAUAUAGACAUGACGUGGUGUCACGAAUACUAAAGUCUCCCUCAUUUCCUGUUGAAUAGAAUCUAGCUAAAGGGUUUGUCUGCAUGUUGAGGUUUGUAAUAUGUAUUGGCAGGGCGUCCCUCCCAUAAGGCCAGUGAGGAAAGGGCUUUAGGCCACAAAUUUUCUGAGGCCACAAAUUUUCUGAAAAAUGAUUAUGGUCAAGUGGUUAAAAACAUUAUUUUCACUUUUUGUUUGAGUUGGAGUUUGCACCUUUAACGUUAUGGUUUAUGUUGACUUG
This is an RNA transcript of Brassica oleracea var. oleracea, 1967 nucleotides long. It is a transcript of the gene named telomere repeat-binding factor 1-like, with no coding region annotated. NCBI's taxonomy places the organism in Eukaryota, Viridiplantae, Streptophyta, Magnoliopsida, Brassicales, Brassicaceae. The transcript is spliced from 8 exons. The record is from RefSeq and is a predicted model, not a curated record.